RNAcentral lists this ribosomal RNA (278 nucleotides) under Acinetobacter baumannii. RNAcentral describes it as "partial 23S ribosomal RNA". It matches the Rfam family "Bacterial large subunit ribosomal RNA", at positions 1622 to 1883 of the family's 2925-position model. Lineage: Bacteria; Pseudomonadati; Pseudomonadota; Gammaproteobacteria; Moraxellales; Moraxellaceae. The record is from RNAcentral.
AAGCAUCAGGUAACAUUAAAUCGUACCCCAAACCGACACAGGUGGUCAGGUAGAGAAUACCAAGGCGCUUGAGAGAACUCGGGUGAAGGAACUAGGCAAAAUGGUGCCGUAACUUCGGGAGAAGGCACGCUGGUGUGUAGGUGAAGUCCCUGCGGAUGGAGCUGAGACCAGUCGAAGAUACCAGCUGGCUGCAACUGUUUAUUAAAAACAUAGCACUCUGCAAACACGAAAGUGGACGUAUACGGUGUGACGCCUGCCCGGUGCCGGAAGGUUAAUUG